AUGGAAUUAGCAACAAAUAUUACUGAAGUUUUUGCUUCUGAAAAGACGGACAUUUACUACAUUCCCUCCCAGCGCAUCGGGAAAAAAAGGAAAUUGCCUACGGGAAAAUUAUACAAUAAAUAUACUAAUCUGUGCAGAAAAUACAAGGAAGAUCGAGUGCGAGCCAUCCCCAAGAAGGUUCUUGCGCUGCCAUGUUUUAACUUUGAUUUAGAGCAGCUGAGUGAAGAAGAAUUCAAGAAAAUUUUAAGAUGGCUCAACUGUAGCACCUCUCCCUGGCAUUUGGUCAAAGAAUACUGGGCAGCCACAGCCAACAAGAGACUACAUUUAUUCGAAAACUCAAGCGUUACAAUCGAUGAAUACAUUGAAGAACUCCCUUCUCUAUCAGAUCCAGUCGCAUCAGAAUUGAUCCAAAUUGACUUUAAUGUGAAAUAUAAAGCUUAUUCAGACUGUCUUUUCAUCAAAUGGCCGGACCUCAAGAAAGAUAUCUUUGCCCAUGCUGAAAAAGUUUUUACAGAAGAUCGUACUUUUGCCGCUACAAUCAAGUCCUGUCCGAUAAAUAUAGACUUUAAAAGUGAAGACGACUUUACAGCAGUUUAUCUCCUUCUACAUCUUAUUCCGACAGGAACUGUGUCAAAUAACAAACGACGUUUUUCACCGGACGAAGAAAAUCCUUCAUCAAAGAAGACCUUUCGACCAUCGCGUUCAGAAGUGAUCGAAGCUUUUAUUCUACGCUGUACUCCAGGCACACUAAAAACGCGUGUGGAAGAACGUGUGAAAACAUGUAAGAAAUAUGGUAUCCGCUGCCAAGCUUUUAUAAUUAGAGUAGAAGACAAACCUAAGACAACAUACAUGGUUUUUUUCAAUGGUCUCUAUUAUACUGCCCCUGAUAUCAUAAGCGCUAUAGAUCAAACUUUCAAGAUUUUUAUGGUCUUUGGUGCCACCUACCCCGCUGAUGUCUUAUAUGUUUGGAAUUUUAUCCAAAAAUAUGUCUACACAAUUUCCACUGAAUAUGAUGUCAGCUCUGGAGCACUAUUUGCUCUUGCUUUAGAUUUAAAUUUGAAAUGAUUCGAUCAUUAUUUGAUAUCACCAAAAUUUUCCACUGUAGUUGGUGAUUUCUGAAUUAUUCUUCAAAUUUCCUCUUUAUUAUUCAUUUAUCCAAAAAUAUGUCUACACAAUUUCCACUGAAUAUGAUGUCAGCUCUGGAGCACUAUUUGCUCUUGCUUUAGAUUUAAAUUUGAAAUGAUUCGAUCAUUAUUUGAUAGCACCAAAAUUUUCCACUGUAGUUGGUGAUUUCUGAAUUUUUCUUCAAAUUUCCUCUUUAUUAUUCAUUUAAAAUUUAAAAACAUGGCCGUCUGCUGGAUUUGUAAACCUAAAAGGUCCUUUUUAAACUUAAAAAAACUAUUUAAACAUUUAAAAGACAUUCAUGGAGAUGUCACUGUGUACAAAUGUCGCCAAAACGACUGCAAUCGCAUUUAUUCAAAGAAGAAGUGCUUUGUUCAACAUUAUAAGCGGGAGCAUGGAGAUAAUUCCUCCUCUAUCUUGGAAGAUGAACAGAUAACACAGGAGAUACCUGAUCAUUGUAAUUCUAUUAAUGUCAGUGAAAUGGAACUACCUCCUGUUCCUGAACCCGACUUUUCAGAUCUUUCCUCCAACAAUGACUUAUUAUCAACAGAAAAUGUAUCUGAUACCAACCCCUCCAACCCUAAGAAAGAUAUGCAUGAGCUGUUACUGGAUUUUCUCAUCUCCCUUUAUUCACAUGGGUCCAUUCCGCGAAAUCAGGUCCAAAAUAUAAUCGAAACUCUGUCCAGUUUAAUUCUUUCCAUAACUGACACCCUAAAAAUUCAAGUAGAAAAUGCUUUUUGCAGCAUUGAUGACAAACAAAAAAUCGAUUCAAUCUUUUCUGGUUAUGACAAUAUAUUUGAGAAGUUUGGGACGGAAUUUAAAAGAUUUAAAGAAUUUGAAAAAAGUAAUCUCCUGAUAAAGCCUGUGCCUUAUUUUAUCGGUCAAUUUAUAGGACAGAAAAAAGUUGGCAAUAAAAGAAUUCCGAUGCCUCUCCGAUUAGAAGGCCAUCACAUGCCACUUAAAAAAAUGUUUGAACUUUUUUUAAUAGAAAAAAUGUAUUGAAAUCCAUUCUUGAUUAUCAGCACCUUCUACUACAAGACACAGAAACAUUAAGUAAUUUCAUCCAAGGUGAAUUCUGGCGAAAAAAAAUUGCAACAGAUAGUCGCACUUUGAUUCCUUUUUUUAUCUACAAUGAUGAUUACGAAGCGGGCAACCCCCUUUCCAGUCAUUCUGGCAUCCACAAAAUUUGUGGCACUUACGCUUCUCUUCCUACCCUCCCUCCACAGUUUCGAUCAAAAUUGGAUAGUAUAUUCAUAACUCUGUUGUUUCACUCAGCAGACAGGAAGAAGUUUGGUAACAAGCGAACAUUCUCCAUUCUAAUUAACGAAAUAGAUGAGAUUCAUAGAGAUGGAAUUCAUAUUGAAACAGAUGAUUUUAAGGGGACCAUCUUUCCUGUCCUGGUGUUACUAGUAGCUGAUAAUUUAGGAGUGCAUAGUGUGUGCGGUUUCUCUGAGAGUUUCACAUGCACUU
RNAcentral lists this long non-coding RNA (2592 nucleotides) under Bemisia tabaci. RNAcentral's name for it is "lncRNA ENSSSA1UGG010720". The record is from RNAcentral. Lineage: Eukaryota; Metazoa; Arthropoda; Insecta; Hemiptera; Aleyrodidae.